This 382-nucleotide ribosomal RNA is filed under the name uncultured eukaryote. Its description in RNAcentral is "partial 18S ribosomal RNA". It matches the Rfam family "Eukaryotic small subunit ribosomal RNA", at positions 592 to 976 of the family's 1831-position model. The record is from RNAcentral.
CAAUAGCGUAUAUUAAAGUUGUUGCAGUUAAAAAGCUCGUAGUUGGAUUUCUGGAUGGAGCGACCGGUCGGGCAUUAAUUUGUCUGCACUGGAGUCGGUUCCGUCCAUCCUCUUGGAAAGUGCGUCGGGCAUUAAGUUGUUUGGCAUAUGAUCCAAGUCGUUUACUGUGAAAAAAUUAGAGUGUUUAAAGCAGGCCUUCGCCUUGAAUACAUUAGCAUGGAAUAAUAAGAUAGGACUUUGGUCUAUUUUGUUGGUUUGCAGACCGAAGUAAUGAUUAAUAGGGAUAGUUGGGGGUAUUUAUAUUCCGAUGUCAGAGGUGAAAUUCUUAGAUUUUCGGAAGAUAAACUUAUGCGAAAGCAUUUACCAAGGAUGUUUUCAUUAA